CGGUAAUACGGAGGAUCCAAGCGUUAUCCGGAAUCAUUGGGUUUAAAGGGUCCGUAGGCGGUUUAAUAAGUCAGUGGUGAAAUCCGGCAGCUCAACUGUCGCACUGCCAUUGAUACUGUUAAACUUGAAUUAUUGUGAAGUAACUAGAAUAUGUAGUGUAGCGGUGAAAUGCUUAGAGAUUACAUGGAAUACCAAUUGCGAAGGCAGGUUACUAACAAUCAAUUGACGCUGAUGGACGAAAGCGUGGGGAGCGAACAGGAUUAGAUACCCUGGUAGUCCACGCCGUAAACGAUGGAUACUAGCUGUUCGACCGCAAGGU
RNAcentral lists this ribosomal RNA (319 nucleotides) under uncultured Flavobacterium sp. RNAcentral's name for it is "bacterial SSU rRNA". It matches the Rfam family "Bacterial small subunit ribosomal RNA", at positions 518 to 839 of the family's 1533-position model. Lineage: Bacteria; Pseudomonadati; Bacteroidota; Flavobacteriia; Flavobacteriales; Flavobacteriaceae. The record is from RNAcentral.